UUUUAGCAAGGAAGAAGCGAAAGUGACGGUACUUGCAGAAAAAGCGCCGGCUAACUACGUGCCAGCAGCCGCGGUAAUACGUAGGGCGCAAGCGUUAUCCGGAAUUAUUGGGCGUAAAGAGCUCGUAGGCGGUUUGUCGCGUCUGCUGUGAAAUCCCGAGGCUCAACCUCGGGCCUGCAGUGGGUACGGGCAGACUAGAGUGCGGUAGGGGAGAUUGGAAUUCCUGGUGUAGCGGUGGAAUGCGCAGAUAUCAGGAGGAACACCGAUGGCGAAGGCAGAUCUCUGGGCCGUAACUGACGCUGAGGAGCGAAAGGGUGGGGAGCAAACAGGCUUAGAUACCCUGGUAGUCCACCCCGUAAACGUUGGGAACUAGUUGUGGGGUCCUUUCCACGGAUUCCGUGACGCAGCUAACGCAUUAAGUUCCCCGCCUGGGGAGUACGGCCGCAAGGCUAAAACUCAAAGGAAUUGACGGGGACCCGCACAAGCGGCGGAGCAUGCGGAUUAAUUCGAUGCAACGCGAAGAACCUUACCAAGGCUUGACAUACACGAGAACACCCUAGAAAUAGGGGACUCUUUGGACACUCGUGAACAGGUGGUGCAUGGUUGUCGUCAGCUCGUGUCGUGAGAUGUUGGGUUAAGUCCCGCAACGAGCGCAACCCUCGUUCUAUGUUGCCAGCACGUAAUGGUGGGAACUCAUGGGAUACUGCCGGGGUCAACUCGGAGGAAGGUGGGGAUGACGUCAAAUCAUCAUGCCCCUUAUGUCUUGGGCUUCACGCAUGCUACAAUGGCCGGUACAAAGGGCUGCAAUACCGUGAGGUGGAGCGAAUCCCAAAAAGCCGGUCCCAGUUCGGAUUGAGGUCUGCAACUCGACCUCAUGAAGUCGGAGUCGCUAGUAAUCGCAGAUCAGCAACGCUGCGGUGAAUACGUUCCCGGGUCUUGUACACACCGCCCGUCAAGUCAUGAAAGUCGGUAACACCUGAAGCCGGUUGCCCAACCCUUGUGGAGGGAGCCGUCGAAGGUGG
This 1022-nucleotide ribosomal RNA is filed under the name Microbacterium sp. Its description in RNAcentral is "bacterial SSU rRNA". It matches the Rfam family "Bacterial small subunit ribosomal RNA", at positions 434 to 1465 of the family's 1533-position model. The record is from RNAcentral. Lineage: Bacteria; Bacillati; Actinomycetota; Actinomycetes; Micrococcales; Microbacteriaceae.